GAUGAACGCUAGCUACAGGCUUAACACAUGCAAGUCGCGGGGCAGCAUGGGGGUUGCUUGCAACCCCUGAUGGCGACCGGCGCACGGGUGAGUAACGCGUAUCCAACCUGCCCUUCACCACGGGAUAACCCGGCGAAAGUCGGACUAAUACCGUAUGUUGUCCAUUGACGGCAUCCGAUUUGGACGAAAUGCUUGGCGGUGGAAGGAUGGGGAUGCGUCCUACUAGCUUGACGGCGGGUUAACGGCCCACCGUGGCUACGAUCGGUAGGGGUUCUGCGAGGAAGGGCCCCCACACUGGAACUGAGACACGGUCCAGACUCCUACGGGAGGCAGCAGUGAGGAAUAUUGGUCAAUGGGCGUAAGCCUGAACCAGCCAAGUAGCGUGCAGGAUGACGGCCCUAUGGGUUGUAAACUGCUUUUAUGCGGGGAUAAAGUGGCCCACGUGUGGGCUUUUGCAGGUACCGCAUGAAUAAGGACCGGCUAAUUCCGUG
RNAcentral lists this ribosomal RNA (491 nucleotides) under uncultured bacterium. Its description in RNAcentral is "partial 16S ribosomal RNA". It matches the Rfam family "Bacterial small subunit ribosomal RNA", at positions 28 to 507 of the family's 1533-position model. The record is from RNAcentral.